This 88-nucleotide transfer RNA is filed under the name Anaerolineae bacterium. Its description in RNAcentral is "tRNA-Leu". It matches the Rfam family "tRNA". From Rfam's summary of the family: Transfer RNA (tRNA) molecules are approximately 80 nucleotides in length. Their secondary structure includes four short double-helical elements and three loops (D, anti-codon, and T loops). Lineage: Bacteria; Bacillati; Chloroflexota; Anaerolineae. The record is from RNAcentral.
UGGGGCGAUGGCGAAAUGGCAGCCGCGAGAGACUUAAAAUCUUUUGCUGGUCAACCCAGCGUGUGGGUUCGACUCCCUCUCGCCCCAU